Molecule: long non-coding RNA, 1083 nt
Organism: Entelurus aequoreus (snake pipefish)
Lineage: Eukaryota; Metazoa; Chordata; Actinopteri; Syngnathiformes; Syngnathidae
Exons: 4
Source: RefSeq, a predicted model, not a curated record
GGAACCAAAACCACUGCAGGCAUCAAUAUGGAGAACCAUGUAAGUGCAAGUGAUUCAAAGACUAAAACCCUGACCACUAAAAGUAGUGCCAGUGCAAUAAAAGCACAAAAAGGAGUUAAGAAGACAUUACACAUAAAAUCUUCCUGUCGAGAGCCAACGCGUUUCCAGCUGUGACUUGUCAGAGGAAGUGAUCAACGGCCGAGAUGUUGUCUCGUCCUCGCGGCUGACGUGGGCCCCAGGCGAGCCUUCAAAGCGACCUGGAGGUGAUGAGACGUGACGGACGACUGGAGCUAGUUGCAGCCAGACCACCUGCAGAUUGAUGGAUUCCAACGGCAGAAGGCCUGCAACACAACACAAACAUGUGAAUGGUUCCUGAACGCACCAUAGAGCUGCAGCACUCCGUCCAAUCAACAUCACGGGUCCUUCCUCUUGUGUCACCAGUCGGACGUCAUCCCUGACCCUUGAUUGUUUCCACCUGUUUCCCAUUACCCUCAUGUUCCAUAUAAGCCCAUGCCUCCCCUUGUUCUGUGCCAGAUUGUCUCGAGCUUUCGUGCCUGUCUAGCUUCCAUGUUCAUGUCCAUGCCUUGCGUCGUCCCACGUCUACUUCCUGGUAUCCAGUAUUUCCCACGCUGUAAUUUGGAGUUAACUUUUUCUCCUCCCUCAGAGCGACUUUUGUUAUCUAGCCUUUUUUCAACCGCAGUGGUGAGUUAUGAUGUUUUGCUUAUGAUCUUCCUUCCUCAAAAGUUUUUGAGUGAUUUUUUUGUUUACAUUUAUUAGAAUAAGAUUAGGGUAGUUAUUUUUAUAGUCAUUAUUUUCUUCCUCCAGUUGGAGCGUUUUUUGUUAAAGUUUUUGAUAGCAGAUACGGUGCAAAUUAUAAUUCGUCUUUAUUUUUGUAUUUCCUCCUUUUUGAGUGAUUUUCGGUUUUUCCCUUUUUGGAAUCUUUUUUCGCUGUCUAUUUUUGUGACUCAUAGUAUUUUGAAUAUACUCUGCUCGGGAGGUUUAAAGAGUUUUCAAAAUAAAAGCUUUAUUUAGAAUCCCAUCUCUGCAUCUGAGUCCCUUCCUUCGUCCAAGCCUGACAAUUAU